RNAcentral lists this ribosomal RNA (251 nucleotides) under uncultured bacterium. RNAcentral's name for it is "partial 16S ribosomal RNA". It matches the Rfam family "Bacterial small subunit ribosomal RNA", at positions 524 to 774 of the family's 1533-position model. The record is from RNAcentral.
UACGUAGGGUGCGAGCGUUAAUCGGAAUUACUGGGCGUAAAGCGUGCGCAGGCGGUUUUGUAAGCCAGAUGUGAAAUCCCCGGGCUUAACCUGGGAAUGGCAUUUGGGACUGCAAGGCUUGAGUUUGGCAGAGGAGACUGGAAUUCCCGGUGUAGCGGUGAAAUGCGCAGAUAUCGGGAAGAACACCCGUGGCGAAGGCGGCACUCUGGGACGGUACUGACGCUGAGACGCGAAAGCGUGGGGAGCGAACG